GACGAACGCUGGCGGCGUGGUUAGACAUGCAAGUCGAACGAAGAAAGCUCCUUCNGGGAGGUGGACAGUGGCGCACGGGUGAGUAACACGUGAGCAAUCUGCCCGGAAGCCCGGAAUAGCCCUCGGAGAGGAGGAUUAAUGCCGGAUGUGGCCAACCCGCGAUUGCGGGUGACGCUAAAGAUUUAUCGCUUCUGAGAGGAGCUCGCGGCCCAUCAGCUUGUUGGUGAGGGUAACGGCCCACCAAGGCGGUGACGGGUAGCUGGUCUGAGAGGAUGGUCAGCCACACUGGAACUGAGACACGGUCCAGACACCUACGGGUGGCAGCAGUCGAGAAUCAUUCGCAAUGGGGGCAACCCUGACGAUGCGACGCCGCGUGAAGGAUGAAGGCCCUAGGGUUGUAAACUUCUGUCAAGAGGGAAUAAGCAAGUGAAGGUACCUCUAGAGGAAGGGGCGGCUAAUUCCGUGCCAGCAGCCGCGGUAACACGGAAGCCCCGAGCGUUGUUCGGAUUUAUUGGGCGUAAAGGGUGCGUAGGCGGCGCGGAAAGUCUGGUGUGAAAGGCAGGGGCUCAACCCCUGGACUGCACUGGAUACUCCCGUGCUUGAGGACUGGAGGGGAGACUGGAAUUCACGGUGUAGCAGUGAAAUGCGUAGAUUUCGUGAGGAAGACCGGUGGCGAAGGCGAGUCUCUGGACAGUUCCUGACGCUGAGGCACGAAGGCUGGGGUAGCGAACAGGAUUAGAUACCCUGGUAGUCCCAGCAGUAAACGAUGUGAGCUUGAUGUGGGGGGAUUCGACCCCUUCCGUGUCGAAGUUAACGCGAUAAGCUCACCGCCUGAGGAGUACCGAUCGCAGGAUUAAAACUCCAAGAAAUUGACGGGGACCCGCACAAGCGGUGGAGUAUGUGGCUUA
This 908-nucleotide ribosomal RNA is filed under the name uncultured organism. Its description in RNAcentral is "bacterial SSU rRNA". It matches the Rfam family "Bacterial small subunit ribosomal RNA", at positions 28 to 948 of the family's 1533-position model. The record is from RNAcentral.